RNAcentral lists this ribosomal RNA (423 nucleotides) under uncultured bacterium. RNAcentral describes it as "bacterial SSU rRNA". It matches the Rfam family "Bacterial small subunit ribosomal RNA", at positions 508 to 931 of the family's 1533-position model. The record is from RNAcentral.
UCAGCAGCCGCGGUAAUACGUAGGGUCCGAGCGUUAAUCGGAAUUACUGGGCGUAAAGCGUGCGCAGGCGGUCUUGUAAGCCAGAUGUGAAAUCCCCGAGCUUAACUUGGGAACUGCAUUUGGGACUGCAAGGCUGGAGUACGGCAGAGGGAGGUGGAAUUCCACGUGUAGCAGUGAAAUGCGUAGAGAUGUGGAGGAACACCGAUGGCGAAGGCAGCCUCCUGGGCUAGUACUGACGCUCAUGCACGAAAGCGUGGGGAGCAAACAGGAUUAGAUACCCUGGUAGUCCACGCCCUAAACGAUGACAACUAGUUGUUGGGGAUUUACAUCCUUAGUAACGCAGCUAACGCGUGAAGUUGUCCGCCUGGGGAGUACGGUCGCAAGAUUAAAACUUAAAGGAAUUGACGGGGGCCCGCACAAGGC